CCUACGGGAGGCUGCAGUGGGGAAUAUUGGACAAUGGGCGAAAGCCUGAUCCAGCCAUGCCGCGUGUGUGAAGAAGGCCUUCGGGUUGUAAGGCACUUUCAGUGGGGAAGAAAGCCUUGGGGCUAAUACCCUCGAGGAAGGACAUCACCCACAGAAGAAGCACCGGCUAACUCCGUGCCAGCAGCCGCGGUAAUACGGAGGGUGCGAGCGUUAAUCGGAAUUACUGGGCGUAAAGCGCGCGUAGGCGGUCUGAUAAGCCGGUUGUGAAAGCCCCGGGCUCAACCUGGGAACGGCAUCCGGAACUGUCAGGCUAGAGUGCAGGAGAGGAAGGUAGAAUUCCCGGUGUAGCGGUGAAAUGCGUAGAGAUCGGGAGGAAUACCAGUGGCGAAGGCGGCCUUCUGGACUGACACUGACGCUGAGGUGCGAAAGCGUGGGUAGCAAACAGGAUUAGAUACCCGGGUAGUC
This 465-nucleotide ribosomal RNA is filed under the name Vreelandella stevensii. Its description in RNAcentral is "partial 16S ribosomal RNA". It matches the Rfam family "Bacterial small subunit ribosomal RNA", at positions 338 to 795 of the family's 1533-position model. Lineage: Bacteria; Pseudomonadati; Pseudomonadota; Gammaproteobacteria; Oceanospirillales; Halomonadaceae. The record is from RNAcentral.